GGCCACACAACUGUUGAUGGGAAGAGGUGGGAUUUGAAUCCAGGCUGUGUGCUUCCAAACUCUGAAUUCUAAACUAGGAGAGACAGCUCACAUUUGCACUUCUGCUUUGUCCUCUUCAAUCCAAGAGACAGAGCUUCUCCAAUCUCUUGGCCCAAAAGGGACCCACACAGGAGGGUGAUUUAUUAGAAGAUCUGGGUUUGGAAAGCAAAGGUGAAUUUCAAAUCUUCAGC
RNAcentral lists this long non-coding RNA (230 nucleotides) under Chinchilla lanigera (long-tailed chinchilla). RNAcentral describes it as "lncRNA (ENSCLAG00000023578.1)". The record is from RNAcentral. Lineage: Eukaryota; Metazoa; Chordata; Mammalia; Rodentia; Chinchillidae.